Molecule: ribosomal RNA, 497 nt
Filed under: uncultured bacterium
Lineage: Bacteria
Description: partial 16S ribosomal RNA
Rfam family: Bacterial small subunit ribosomal RNA
Source: RNAcentral
GAUGAACGCUGGCGGCGUGCCUAAUACAUGCAAGUCGAGCGAACAGAUGAGGAGCUUGCUCCUCUGACGUUAGCGGCGGACGGGUGAGUAACACGUGGAUAACCUACCUAUAAGACUGGGAUAACUUCGGGAAACCGGAGCUAAUACCGGAUAAUAUAUUUAACCGCAUGGUUCAAUAGUGAAAGACGGUUUUGCUGUCACUUAUAGAUGGAUCCGCGCCGCAUUAGCUAGUUGGUAAGGUAACGGCUUACCAAGGCAACGAUGCGUAGCCGACCUGAGAGGGUGAUCGGCCACACUGGAACUGAGACACGGUCCAGACUCCUACGGGAGGCAGCAGUAGGGAAUCCUCCGCAAUGGGCGAAAGCCUGACGGAGCAACGCCGCGUGAGUGAUGAAGGUCUUCGGAUCGUAAAACUCUGUUAUUAGGGAAGAACAAAUGUGUAAGUAACUAUGCACGUCUUGACGGUACCUAAUCAGAAAGCCACGGCUAACUACGUG